Long non-coding RNA from Manis pentadactyla (Chinese pangolin), 493 nucleotides. RefSeq lists it as uncharacterized. The transcript is spliced from 3 exons. The record is from RefSeq and is a predicted model, not a curated record. NCBI's taxonomy places the organism in Eukaryota, Metazoa, Chordata, Mammalia, Pholidota, Manidae.
CAAGAGGAAAAUGAACUUCUGUUAAAAUGUUAUGUGGAAGUAUUUAGGAAAGUGCAAAUGUUGCAUAAAUGAACAAAUUCCUGAAAUAAUUCACAAUUUUUACCCUUGUCAGUUAUGGGAUCUUCAUAUAUGCCUCUGAGGCUGAACCCUGUGGAAAUCCCUGAUGAAGCCCGAAACACAUGUCUUCCCUCUCUGGUACUGGCACCUUGGUGAAGGCACAUAAUUUAACAGUUUGUAAUAGUUGAAGCCACAUGUCUCUAUGGACUGGAAUAUUGUCGAAACAGCUUCACUCAAGUGAGGAGACUUUUAACUGUAUAAUUCAGGUAUGUAUAUUUUCUUUGAACGAAGUGUGUGACAUUCAGCUUGUCAAAACUGAACAUUUUGCUUGACUGAACAGCUUUGCUCUGUGUUUUGCUUGUCUACCGAGGCAAGUAAAGGCUGACAAGAAGGGCAUUUCCAGCUAGUUAAAUACCAAGAAGGGAAGGAAGCAGGA